AGAGUUUGAUCCUGGCUCAGGACGAACGCUGGCGGCGUGCCUCACACAUGCAAGUCGAACGGGGAUAUAUUGAAAGCUUGCUUUUGAUAUAUCCUAGUGGCGAACGGGUGAGUAACACGUGAGCAACCUGCCCGACAAACCGGGAUAACAGCGGGAAACUGCUGCUAAUACCGGAUACACCAGGUAUGGCGCAUGCUGUAUCUGGGAAAGGGUUUACCGAUGUCGGAUGGGCUCGCGUCCCAUUAGCUAGUUGGUGAGGUAACGGCUCACCAAGGCGACGAUGGGUAGCUGGUCUGAGAGGACGAUCAGCCACACUGGAACUGAGACACGGUCCAGACUCCUACGGGAGGCAGCAGUGGGGAAUCUUGCACAAUGGGCGAAAGCCUGAUGCAGCGACGCCGCGUGGAGGAUGAAGGCCUUCGGGUCGUAAACUCCUGUCUGGGGGGAUGAACACUGACAGUACCCCCGGAGGAAGCCCCGGCUAACUACGUGCCAGCAGCCGCGGUAAUACGUAGGGGGCGAGCGUUGUCCGGAAUUACUGGGCGUAAAGCGCGCGCAGGCGGCCUAUUAAGUCAGGUGUUAAAAUGCGGAGCUUAACUCCGUAUCGCACUUGAAACUGGUAGGCUUGAGUGCAGGAGAGGGAAGUGGAAUUCCCAGUGUAGCGGUGAAAUGCGUAGAUAUUGGGAGGAACACCAGUGGCGAAGGCGACUUCCUGGACUGUAACUGACGCUCAGGCGCGAAAGCUAGGGGAGCAAACAGGAUUAGAUACCCUGGUAGUCCUAGCCGUAAACGAUGGGUACUAGGUGUUGGGGGUUUCAAUCCUCCAGUGCCGCAGUUAACGCAUUAAGUACCCCGCCUGGGGAGUACGGCCGCAAGGCUGAAACUCAAAUGAAUUGACGG
Molecule: ribosomal RNA, 900 nt
Filed under: uncultured bacterium
Lineage: Bacteria
Description: bacterial SSU rRNA
Rfam family: Bacterial small subunit ribosomal RNA
Source: RNAcentral